RNAcentral lists this ribosomal RNA (468 nucleotides) under uncultured bacterium. Its description in RNAcentral is "partial 16S ribosomal RNA". It matches the Rfam family "Bacterial small subunit ribosomal RNA", at positions 28 to 507 of the family's 1533-position model. The record is from RNAcentral.
GACGAACGCUGGCGGCGUGCUUAACACAUGCAAGUCGAACGGAAAGGCCCUGCUUUGGUGGGGUGCUCGAGUGGCGAACGGGUGAGUAACACGUGAGUAACCUGCCCUGGACUUUGGGAUAACUCCAGGAAACUGGGGCUAAUACCGGAUAGGAGCUCCUGCUGCAUGGUGGGGGGUGGAGAGUUUCGGCGGUUGGGGAUGGACUCGCGGCUUAUCAGCUUGUUGGUGGGGUAGUGGCUUACCAAGGCUUUGACGGGUAGCCGGCCUGAGAGGGUGACCGGCCACAUUGGGACUGAGAUACGGCCCAGACUCCUACGGGAGGCAGCAGUGGGGAAUAUUGCACAAUGGGCGGAAGCCUGAUGCAGCAACGCCGCGUGCGGGAUGACGGCCUUCGGGUUGUAAACCGCUUUCGCCUGUGACGAAGCGUGAGUGACGGUAAUGGGUAAAGAAGCACCGGCUAACUACGUG